RNAcentral lists this long non-coding RNA (281 nucleotides) under Mustela putorius furo (domestic ferret). Its description in RNAcentral is "lncRNA (ENSMPUG00000027812.1)". Lineage: Eukaryota; Metazoa; Chordata; Mammalia; Carnivora; Mustelidae. The record is from RNAcentral.
AACAAGCCUGGCGUGCUGAGUGCAGGGCACAGACCACUGGAAACUAGACCUCGCUGUACAAGGGAGAGGUCACCUUUCCUUAUAUUCAUCCAGGCAAGGAGGCAUGGAGUCCAGAAUCUUGGAGGAGAAUGGCACAUCCAGAAUAAGACCCACAUAAAGAGAAGAGAAGACAUGAAGUGGGGCCAGAGCCACAGCUAACAUAUAACAUGAUGAGAGAUAAACCUUUGUGUGGAAUCCCUUCCCUUGCGAAGUCUUUCUGACCCACCCACCCAGCAUCAGUC